RNAcentral lists this ribosomal RNA (253 nucleotides) under uncultured bacterium. Its description in RNAcentral is "partial 16S ribosomal RNA". It matches the Rfam family "Bacterial small subunit ribosomal RNA", at positions 524 to 776 of the family's 1533-position model. The record is from RNAcentral.
UACGGAGGGUGCGAGCGUUGUCCGGAAUCAUUGGGCGUAAAGGGCGCGUAGGUGGCCCGGUCAGUCAGUGGUGAAAGCGCGGGGCUCAACUCCGCGUCGGCCAUUGAUACUGCGGGGCUGGAGCACUGUAGAGGCAGGCGGAAUUCCGGGUGUAGCGGUGGAAUGCGUAGAUAUCGGGAGGAAUACCAGUGGCGAAAGCGGCACCCUAGCAUUUUUCUGACGCUCAUGUGCGAAAGCGUGGGGAGCGAACGGG